Molecule: ribosomal RNA, 253 nt
Filed under: uncultured bacterium
Lineage: Bacteria
Description: partial 16S ribosomal RNA
Rfam family: Bacterial small subunit ribosomal RNA
Source: RNAcentral
UACGGAGGAUGCAAGCGUUAUCCGGAAUGAUUGGGCGUAAAGGGUCCGCAGGUGGAAUUUCAAGUCUGCUGUCAAAGCGUGAAGCUUAACUUCAUAAAGGCAGUGGAAACUGAGAAUCUAGAGUACGUUCGGGGCAGAGGGAAUUCCCAGUGUAGCGGUGAAAUGCGUAGAUAUUGGGAAGAACACCAGUGGCGAAAGCGCUCUGCUAGGCCUGUACUGACAAUGAGGGACGAAAGAUAGGGGAGCGAAUGGG